CUGUGACAGAUCAGUAUAUGUCCCAAUUAAUCAAAGAAUUGCGAGGGGCUGAUUUUCGGAGGUAAAGACGAGCGUGCUGAUUUUCGGAGAUACAAUAAUAUGUUGAAGCUGCAACAUUUUGUAAAUUCUGCUGAACAGGGGCUUUUUUGAAUCUGCAAGAGAUAAAUGUUGGUCUGCUACCACUUAGUGAUCCAUCUCUUGAG
RNAcentral lists this unclassified non-coding RNA (203 nucleotides) under Hevea brasiliensis (rubber tree). Lineage: Eukaryota; Viridiplantae; Streptophyta; Magnoliopsida; Malpighiales; Euphorbiaceae. The record is from RNAcentral.